Molecule: long non-coding RNA, 367 nt
Organism: Numida meleagris (helmeted guineafowl)
Lineage: Eukaryota; Metazoa; Chordata; Aves; Galliformes; Numididae
Exons: 4
Source: RefSeq, a predicted model, not a curated record
AGCUCCCAGCCAGGCUCCGCGGCGUGUAAAAGCGAGGCGGAGGGGCGAGCAGCACGGAGCGACAAGCCGGGCCGGGCUGCUGAGACGGUUGCCCCGGGAGUGCUGCGCACACGAGCAAACGUCGUCUGAAAUGGCAUCCGAGUUUCUGCUGACCCACCUCUUACCUUUGUGGAGCCCCACAGCACAGAAGAUAUGCCUAAGACAGAGCAGUUCCCCAUUCAAGCACUCAGCAUCUGAUUCUGAUUUUCCUCUCUACCUCCCUUCAGCUUGCUGACAAAGCUGCUGUAAAGAUGUGGGAAAAAAACCACGUGCAACACUUACCUCUAUAGGCAUUCUCUUGCUGUCUGCUCAGACACGUUGUUUCAGC